The sequence is a transfer RNA, 85 nucleotides long. It matches the Rfam family "tRNA". Rfam says of the family: Transfer RNA (tRNA) molecules are approximately 80 nucleotides in length. Their secondary structure includes four short double-helical elements and three loops (D, anti-codon, and T loops).
GCGGACGUGGUGAAACUGGUAGACACGCUAGUCUUAGGAACUAGUAUCGCAAGAUGUGUGGGUUCGAGUCCCACCGUCCGCACCA